This 75-nucleotide transfer RNA is filed under the name Fidelibacterota bacterium. RNAcentral's name for it is "tRNA-Gly". It matches the Rfam family "tRNA". Rfam says of the family: Transfer RNA (tRNA) molecules are approximately 80 nucleotides in length. Their secondary structure includes four short double-helical elements and three loops (D, anti-codon, and T loops). Lineage: Bacteria; Pseudomonadati; Fidelibacterota. The record is from RNAcentral.
GCGAGAGUAGCUCAGCUGGUAGAGCACCACCUUGCCAAGGUGGAUGUCGUCCCGACUGAGUCGGGAUCUCUCGCG